This is a long non-coding RNA of Cebus imitator (Panamanian white-faced capuchin), 1668 nucleotides long. RefSeq lists it as uncharacterized. NCBI's taxonomy places the organism in Eukaryota, Metazoa, Chordata, Mammalia, Primates, Cebidae. The record is from RefSeq and is a predicted model, not a curated record. The transcript has 3 exons.
AUUCUAACAGAGUGUGGUAGCUCAAGCUUGUAGUCCCAGCUGCUUGGGAGGCUGAGGCAGGAGGAUUGCUUGAGACCGAGACGUGGAGGCUGCAGUGAGCCGUGAUCGUACCACUGGGAGAUGGAUGGAGCGAUCGUAUCCCAGCCUGGGUGACGGAGGGAGACCUUGUCUCAAAAAAAAUAAUAAUAAUUUAGAGUUCUCUAGCUUUUUACCAGGUUUUCUCAUUUCUUCUGUGUGGAGGAUGGAUACAAAUUAUCUGUUGACUGAUGCAAAGUAAUAGCACAAAGCAGUACCCUCUGAAGUUGCGGUAGUUUGUGUGUCACCUUUUCCAGAAAGGUUGGAUUUUGUGACUUUGAAUCCCGAGAGUGGGAGUCUUGGCUGUUUCUGGACUGUAGAGUGAGAAGAGGCCGAGAUGUGGUGAUGGCAGGCCAAGUGGAGGGUCAUAGAAGGUGCUGUUUGUGAGACGCCACUGUGUUUCUAAGCUAUUUUUGCCCCAUAGGUUUAACUUCUUUAUUCAGCAAAAACGCGGAUUCAGAAAGGCACCCGGGAAGGUUGAACCUCGAAGAUUAGACACAGGGACAAGUGGUGAAGCAUAUAAGAGAAGUGCUUUGAUUCCUCCCGUGGAAGAAACAGCCCUUUAUCCUUCUCUCUGUCCUAUAAGGACUCUCAUAAAACCAUUAUUUUUUUACUGCUGGGUUUACAGGCUGUGCAUUUGAAUCAGCUGCUAUUUGGUAAUAUGAAUCACUGAAAUCCAGGGUCCAGAGUUAUUUUGAUGGUAUAAAAGCUGAUUGGUUGGCUAGCAUAAGACCAGAAGAAGGAGAUUUCAGAAAGGAGAUUAACAAGUGGUGGAAUAACCUAAGUGGUGGCCAGCGGGCUGUGACAGGUUUGUGUUAGCUUGCACGUUUUCCCCCUUCAAGGGAAGAGGAAUCAAACCAGAAGGAACAGCAUGUCACAGGCGACGGCUUUAGUUCCACGCUCAGCAGUGCUUUGGAAGACACUCUCUGUACCUGUAGGCGAAUGUAAUAGCAUAUAAAGUGGUGAGGGGUGAAGGUGUCUAUGAUGCUGUGGGUCAGUUACUUUCUCAUUUUGAUCGAGUAUGAUACUGAUUGGUUAGUUUUGUUGUAGAAUACCAGCUUGUGGAAUAGCUUAUUACUAAUGAUUACUUCCCUUAUGAAAGAAACUAACGGAAACAUUAAGCACUGCAGGAUGCUGUAAAACACAUUCUGUCCCUACCCAGAGUCGCUUACAGGGUAGCUGGCUCCCUUUUUACCGAUGAGGAAACUGACUUUGAGAGAAGGAACUUUUGAAGGUCAAACUGCUAGUCAGCAGUAGAGCUGAGCUUCAAAACCCAAGUCUGUCUCACUCCAAAGCCAGUUUUCUCUCUUCUCCCCCAGGCUAUUUUUAAGACCCUGUUUAAAUGGAAGCAUGACAUGCAUGUCACCAUAAUAAUUUUUUUUCUUUAUAAAUUGUUAGGGAAAGACAGUUCUGGCUCCUCAAGGUAACACCUCUGCAGUAUUUUACGGACUUAGUUAUUUGAGAAACUUGAAAAUAGAUUUUUGCUAGGAACAGUGGCUCACACAUGUAAUCCCAGCACUUUGGGAGGUUGAGGUGAGCGGAUCCCUUGAGCUCAGGAGUUCGAGGCCCGCCCGGGCAACAUGACAAAACCCU